AAGAAAGUAAAUAAGGGCGCAUGGCGGAUGCCUUGGCUCUCGGAGGCGAUGAAGGACGUGAUAAGCUGCGAUAAGCUUCGGGUAGGUGCAAAUGACCUUUGAUCCGAAGAUUUCCGAAUGGGACAACCCGGCAUUCUGAAGGAAUGUCAUCCAAC
This 155-nucleotide ribosomal RNA is filed under the name Bacteroides fragilis. Its description in RNAcentral is "partial 23S ribosomal RNA". It matches the Rfam family "Bacterial large subunit ribosomal RNA", at positions 1 to 156 of the family's 2925-position model. The record is from RNAcentral. Lineage: Bacteria; Pseudomonadati; Bacteroidota; Bacteroidia; Bacteroidales; Bacteroidaceae.